GGAUGAACGCUAGCGACAGGCCUAACACAUGCAAGUCGAGGGGCAGCACAAGGAGCAAUCUGAGGUGGCGACCGGCGCACGGGUGAGUAACACGUAUGCAACCUGCCUGUAAGCGGGGAAUAACCCGUUGAAAGACGGACUAAUACCGCAUAAUACUAAAUUACUGCAUGGUAAUUUAUUUAAACAUUUAUGGCUUACAGAUGGGCAUGCGCAUGAUUAGCUAGUUGGAGAGGUAACGGCUCCCCAAGGCAACGAUCAUUAGGGGUUCUGAGAGGAAGGUCCCCCCACACUGGUACUGAGACACGGACCAGACUCCUACGGGAGGCAGCAGUGAGGAAUAUUGGUCAAUGGACGAGAGUCUGAACCAGCCAAGUCGCGUGCAGGAAGAAUUGUCCUAUGGAUUGUAAACUGCUUUUGCAGGGGAAUAAAGUGCAUCACGUGUGAUGUUUUGUAUGUACUCUGCGAAUAAGGAUCGGCUAACUCCGUGCCAGCCGCUGC
Molecule: ribosomal RNA, 498 nt
Filed under: uncultured bacterium
Lineage: Bacteria
Description: bacterial SSU rRNA
Rfam family: Bacterial small subunit ribosomal RNA
Source: RNAcentral